UUUUUUUUUUUUUUUUUUUUUUGCUAUGGAACUUGGUGAAAUAGUGACUCACUUUUAUUGGCGUGUGCAUGUGUACUAAAGAUGAAAAUGAUGAACAACAAUUUGAGUUUGUAUAGAACUUCCUUUCUGGAACCUUUAUUUUUGGCAGGUAUGUGGAAGGGGUGGGGGAAAUAUACGAUACCAAACACAAUUUUGGCAAAGGAACAACAACCCUAAUCAUAAAUUUUUAGGCAUUUCGGUGAUUUUUGAUAUGAAUAUAUAAAAACAUGUUACCUAAGCUAAUGUUCAGAUGUGUACACAUUGCUUUUUACUUAACUAGAAGAUUUUAACUUUUUUCUUUGUUUAUAUUUCACGUAUAUCAGUAAAGCCUCAAAAUGACUUACAAAAUUAAUAAGAAAGGUUUUAAAAAAAUUACUGGUAAGGGGGCUAGAGAGAAGCCACUCAGAUAUUGUGUGUGUGUUUGGCUGGUGCCAUCUUUUGUUAGGGAAACUUGGCAAACUACAAAACCUUAAGAGUCUGCAUUCUAUCUGACCUAGCAAUUCCACUUUUAGGAAUUUAUCUUACUGAUAUAAUCAAGGGUGAGGCCAAAUAUUUAGAUAUAUUCACUGUGUUUAGCUAUGUUGCACAAUUGUUUAUAACGGUAAAGAAUUGAAAACAAUUUAAACAUUCAACAGGGGGAAAUUGGUUAAAUGACAGCAUAUCCGUUUUGUGUAUACCAUGCAAUUGUUUAAAAUGAUGUUGCAGAAUAGUAUAUGAUUCUAUUAAAGAUGUUCAAUAGAUGCUGUUAAAUUCGGAGAGAUGAAUGACAAAUAUUAUGUGUAGAAUAAACCGCUUUUUUUUCUUUUUCUUUUUCUUUUUUUUUUUUUUUUGAGAUAGAGUUUCGCUCUUGUUGCCCAGGCUGGAGUGCAAUGGUGUGAUCUCGGUUCACCGCUACCUCCACCUCCCGGGUUCAAGUGAUUCUCUUGCCUCAGCCUCCUGAGUAGCUGGGAUUACAGGCAUGAGCCACCAUGCCCAGCUAAUUUUGUAUUUUUAGUAGAGAUGGGGUUUCUGCCAUGUUGGCCAGGCUGGUCUCAAACUCCCAACCUCAGGUGAUUCACCCGCCUUGGCCUCCCAAAGUGCUGGGAUUACAGGCGUGAGCCACCAUGCCUGGUCGAAUAAGCCACUUUUAAAAAUGUAUAUAUAUGCAUUAGGAAAUGGCAAACUAUCAAGAACUAAAUGUGGUCAGUGAAAAGGACAGAUCAUUUCACUUUCUUCUUUUCUCUUAUAUGUAUUUAACACAUUUCAUAUCGCAGAUAUAUUUUACAUUUGUGAAGAGAAAAACAAGUUGCUUUUUAUUUUUUUUAAGUAGGAAAGGAAAUGAGUACAAUGGGAAAAAUGAUAUAAGAAAGUUAAAAAUGAAUCUUGAGGUUACUUCUAAAAAUGCAAGCAAUAAGAUUCUGUACAGAUGGGCCACACAUUUUGCGCUAGGCUUUCGAGAGCCAACAGAAAGAGGGAAACAGAAUCAAUGACAGUAUUUACAGUAUCUGUGAUAAGAAUAAUCUGUUAAUCAACAACUUGAAAGUAAAUACAAUGGCAGAUUUCACUGGAGUUUUACCUACAUGUAGGCUGAAAAUAAAAUGCUGAAGGUCAAUAGAAAGUUAAAUACUAGUUUACCUUUAUAAAAAGGUAGCCAUAAAGUCUGGAAACACAGACAAUGUUAUUUUAUUUUUUACAGACUUAAGUAAAUUAUAUUAUAGUAUAUAUUGAUUUUACACAUUGAACUCCCUGAUU
Molecule: long non-coding RNA, 1770 nt
Filed under: Macaca fascicularis (crab-eating macaque)
Lineage: Eukaryota; Metazoa; Chordata; Mammalia; Primates; Cercopithecidae
Description: lncRNA (ENSMFAG00000064349.1)
Source: RNAcentral